RNAcentral lists this long non-coding RNA (946 nucleotides) under Pan troglodytes (chimpanzee). RNAcentral's name for it is "long non-coding RNA NONPTRT009105". The record is from RNAcentral. Lineage: Eukaryota; Metazoa; Chordata; Mammalia; Primates; Hominidae.
GAAGGCCAGGAGCUCCUGCUUGAGCUGGAGAAGAACCAGCUGCUGGCCCCAGGAUACAUAGAAACCCACUACAGCCCAGAUGGGCAGCCAGUGGUGCUGGCCCCCAACCACACGGUGAGAUGCUUCCAUGGGCUCUGGGAUGCACCCCCAGAGGUACCCCCCACCAUUCCUACCCCUACUCCUCCUUGCAUUCCUAAGGGGAGGUUGGAGCCAGCUCCUACCACACCCUCCCUCUUGCCCCUCUUGCUCCAGCCCUGACUGAGAUUUGGGGCUGGCCCCUUCCUCCCUAGGAUCAUUGCCACUACCAAGGGCGAGUAAGGGGCUUCCCCGACUCCUGGGUAGUCCUCUGCACCUGCUCUGGGAUGAGGUGAGCUCUGGGAGAGGAGGCUGGGCCUGGGAUGGGGAAAGAGCUCCCUCACACCCGCUCCUACCCCUCUGCACCCUAGUGGCCUGAUCACCCUCAGCAGGAAUGCCAGCUAUUAUCUGCGUCCCUGGCCACCCCGGGGCUCCAAGGACUUCUCAACCCACAAGAUCUUUCGGAUGGAGCAGCUUCUCACCUGGAAAGGAGCCUGUGGCCACAGGGAUCCUGGGAACAAAGCGGGCAUGACCAGCCUUCCUGGUGGUCCCCAGAGCAGGGUCAGGGGCAUCGAUCGGAUGGGAGUGGGAAUGCUGUAUCUAUAGCCCUCCAAAUCAGAAGAGACAGGAAUUCACAGGCCUCGAGUCCCAGUAUUUUUAUUGGAGUCUGAAGAAACAAGUUCCAGAAAACAUGUUAAACUUCCUUCUGGGAGCUGGGGUUGGUGGUCAGGGCUCAAGCCCAGCAGCUUCCACUCAGGGUCCCCAUUUGCACCUCCGCAGGACAGGCGAGAAGCGCGCAGGACCCGGAAGUACCUGGAACUGUACAUUGUGGCAGACCACACCCUGUUCUUGACUCGGCACCGAAACUUGA